RNAcentral lists this ribosomal RNA (434 nucleotides) under uncultured bacterium. Its description in RNAcentral is "bacterial SSU rRNA". It matches the Rfam family "Bacterial small subunit ribosomal RNA", at positions 335 to 761 of the family's 1533-position model. The record is from RNAcentral.
ACUCCUACGGGAGGCAGCAGUGGGGAAUAUUGCACAAUGGGCGCAAGCCUGAUGCAGCCAUGCCGCGUGUAUGAAGAAGGCCUUCGGGUUGUAAAGUACUUUCAGCAGUGAGGAAGGCGGGUACGUUAAUAGCGUGCUUGUUUGACGUUAGCUGCAGAAGAAGCACCGGCUAACUCCGUGCCAGCAGCCGCGGUAAUACGGAGGGUGCGAGCGUUAAUCGGAAUUACUGGGCGUAAAGCGCAUGCAGGUGGUUUGUUAAGUCAGAUGUGAAAGCCCGGGGCUCAACCUCGGAAUUGCAUUUGAAACUGGCAGACUAGAGUACUGUAGAGGGGGGUAGAAUUUCAGGUGUAGCGGUGAAAUGCGUAGAGAUCUGAAGGAAUACCGGUGGCGAAGGCGGCCCCCUGGACAGAUACUGACACUCAGAUGCGAAAGCU